UGUAGGGCGCAAGCGUUGUCCGGAAUUAUUGGGCGUAAAGAGCUCGUAGGCGGCUUGUCACGUCGGAUGUGAAAGCCCGGGGCUUAACCCCGGGUCUGCAUUCGAUACGGGCUAGCUAGAGUGUGGUAGGGGAGAUCGGAAUUCCUGGUGUAGCGGUGAAAUGCGCAGAUAUCAGGAGGAACACCGGUGGCGAAGGCGGAUCUCUGGGCCAUUACUGACGCUGAGGAGCGAAAGCGUGGGGAGCGAACAGGAUUAGAUACCCUGGUAGUCCACGCCGUAAACGUUGGGAACUAGGUGUUGGCGACACUCCACGUCGUCGGUGCCGCAGCUAACGCAUUAAGUUCCCCGCCUGGGGAGUACGGCCGCAAGGCUA
RNAcentral lists this ribosomal RNA (373 nucleotides) under uncultured organism. RNAcentral's name for it is "bacterial SSU rRNA". It matches the Rfam family "Bacterial small subunit ribosomal RNA", at positions 526 to 896 of the family's 1533-position model. The record is from RNAcentral.